CCACGGGGGGCAGCAGUGAGGAAUAUUGGUCAAUGGACGCAAGUCUGAACCAGCCAUGCCGCGUGCAGGAUGACGGCUCUAUGAGUUGUAAACUGCUUUUGUACGAGGGUAAACCCCGAUACGUGUAUCGGGUUGAAAGUAUCGUACGAAUAAGGAUCGGCUAACUCCGUGCCAGCAGCCGCGGUAAUACGGAGGAUCCGAGCGUUAUCCGGAUUUAUUGGGUUUAAAGGGUGCGUAGGCGGUUUGAUAAGUUAGAGGUAAAAUGUCGGGGCUCAACCCCGAAACUGCCUCUAAUACUGUUGGACUAGAGAAUAGUUGCGUUAGGCGGAAUGUAGGGUGUAGCGGGGAAAUGGUUAGAGAUCAUACAGAACACCGAUUGCGAAGGCAGCUUACCAAACUAUAUCUGACGUUGAGGCACGAAAGCGUGGGUAGCAAACAGGAUUAGUACCCUAGUAGUC
This 458-nucleotide ribosomal RNA is filed under the name uncultured bacterium. RNAcentral describes it as "partial 16S ribosomal RNA". It matches the Rfam family "Bacterial small subunit ribosomal RNA", at positions 339 to 795 of the family's 1533-position model. The record is from RNAcentral.